GUGAAUCAUCGAAUUUUUGAACGCAAAUUGCACUCUCCUCGGAGAGUAUGACUGUUUGAGGGUCAGCCUAUAAAAAAUCGACAUCGUUGCUGUUUCGCGGUGGCGUUCGUCGGAAAUUGGGUCAUCUUAAACCUUUUGGUUUUAAGCGACUUAAAAUUUUCUUUUUGAUUCCUUCAAACUUGUUUAAGUUUUUUUCUUUCGUUCUUGACGU
Molecule: unclassified non-coding RNA, 211 nt
Filed under: Glomus sp.
Lineage: Eukaryota; Fungi; Glomeromycota; Glomeromycetes; Glomerales; Glomeraceae
Description: partial contains 5.8S ribosomal RNA and internal transcribed spacer 2
Rfam family: 5.8S ribosomal RNA (bases 1-65)
Source: RNAcentral